CUCAACCGGGGGAUGGCACUUGAAACUGCGCAGCUAGAGUUCUGGAGAGGGUGGCGGAAUUCCCGGUGUAGGAGUGAAAUCCGUAGAGAUCGGGAGGAACACCAGAGGCGAAGGCGGCCACCUGGCCAGAAACUGACGCUGAGGCGCGAAAGCGUGGGUAGCAAACAGGAUUAGAUACCCUGGUAGUCCACGCUGUAAACACUGGAUGCUAGAUGCGGGUGACGUAGAAGUCAUUCGUGUCGCAGCUAACGCGUUAAGCAUCCCGCCUGGGGAGUACGGCCGCAAGGCUGAAACUCAAAGGAAUUGACGGGGGCCUGCACAAGCGGUGGAGUAUGUGGUUUAAUUCGAUGCAACGCGAAGAACCUUACCUGGGCUUGACAUCCCGGGAACCCGCUGGAGACAGCGGGGUGCCCUUCGGGGAGCCC
RNAcentral lists this ribosomal RNA (425 nucleotides) under uncultured delta proteobacterium. RNAcentral describes it as "bacterial SSU rRNA". It matches the Rfam family "Bacterial small subunit ribosomal RNA", at positions 608 to 1029 of the family's 1533-position model. The record is from RNAcentral. Lineage: Bacteria; Deltaproteobacteria.